Podarcis muralis (Common wall lizard) is the source of this 478-nucleotide non-coding RNA. The record is from RefSeq and is a predicted model, not a curated record. Lineage: Eukaryota; Metazoa; Chordata; Lepidosauria; Squamata; Lacertidae.
GGGGAGAACCGGCUCCCUCAAAUAUUUUAUUGAGGGGGGGGCAUUGAAGGGACCUCAUCCCCCCCCAUGAGUUGCUCUCCCAGCUCGAACCCUGAGAGGAAGACCCACGGCCGAGCCAUCUGGGCAGCGGCUGCGGAAUGCCACUAUUUGGUAGAUAUAGUGUGAAGCUGUUCCCAUGGAAAGAUCACUACCUGCUGAAGGCAUAUGUGUGGAUCUGGCUGCCCACCUUUGCUGUGGGCUAGGAUGGUCCGGCCAUAGAAGCUGAAAGAUCGCUUUGAAUUCCAAAAUGCUGUGAGAAUGAUGCUGCCCCAGAAAGAUGUGAAGCAGGAGGCUAACUGGGGCAAUUGACACUCCCACCUAAACAGCCUGGCUCCCUGCAGUUUGAUGAGGAGUUGAGCAUUUGAUAGAUAUAUCAAUAUAGUUCUGUACUGUGUCUUUUGCACUUAUGUCCUAAAUAAGUUUGGUUCCACUCAGUUUA